GAUGAACGCUAGCGGCAGGCCUAACACAUGCAAGUCGAGGGGCAGCACGUCUUCGGAUGGUGGCGACCGGCGCACGGGUGCGUAACGCGUAUGCAACCUACCUCUUACAGUGGGAUAGCCCAGAGAAAUUUGGAUUAAUACCGCAUAGUAUACAGAUUCAGCAUUGGGACUGUAUUAAACAUUUAUGGGUAAGAGAUGGGCAUGCGUUCUAUUAGUUAGUUGGAGUGGUAACGGCACCCCAGACAGCGAUAGAUAGGGCCCGUGAGAGGGGAGUCCCCACCACUGGUACUGAGACACGGACCAGACUCCUACGGGAGGCAGCAGUGAGGAAUAUUGGACAAUAGGGCGAGAGCCUGAUCCAGCCAUGCCGCGUGCAGGAAGACGGCCCUAUGGGUUGUAAACU
This 403-nucleotide ribosomal RNA is filed under the name uncultured bacterium. RNAcentral's name for it is "bacterial SSU rRNA". It matches the Rfam family "Bacterial small subunit ribosomal RNA", at positions 28 to 431 of the family's 1533-position model. The record is from RNAcentral.